Long non-coding RNA from Lycium barbarum (goji berry), 560 nucleotides. RefSeq lists it as uncharacterized. Lineage: Eukaryota; Viridiplantae; Streptophyta; Magnoliopsida; Solanales; Solanaceae. The transcript has 3 exons. The record is from RefSeq and is a predicted model, not a curated record.
CCAUAGAAUGGUGCCCUAUACAUUCAUCACAAAAAUUUCACACAAAACCUAAGUGAUUUCAAGAGAUUCAAGUGAUUCUAGUGCCAAAAACCCGGACUGCUUGCUAGUUUCUCUUCCUCCUUCUUGUAGCUGCUUUGGGGGACUGAUUUGACAUGAAGAAGGACUAAGUUUCGUGGUUUAUACUCAGUCCAAGGUUGAAGCACUAUGGGGAGUAUAUAUUGAGUCAUUGAGAACAAAGGUCUACAGAUACCAGUUGGUGAUCCAUCUAUUAAGAUGUCAGCUCUGCGGAUGAAGUUGGUGCACUCCAUUUGUUUCGGAGGUGCCAGGAGUCAGCAUGGUCUUAUGUAUAUAUAGAUAUGUACGCACACAUGUAUAGGUAUGGCGAGGCCUUGUCUCGGCCACAGUAUGUUAUGUUUUCUAGUAGAUGCUUGUAGGCAGUUAUGUACAGUCAGCUAAUGUCCAGACUUGAGAUUUCAUGGGUCAUCGCAGUUGGUUAUGAUGGUCGUACCGGCCUAUACAGUAUGUCUAAUAUUUUCACAGCCGAGUCUUUCAGAACAAUU